Molecule: ribosomal RNA, 253 nt
Filed under: uncultured bacterium
Lineage: Bacteria
Description: partial 16S ribosomal RNA
Rfam family: Bacterial small subunit ribosomal RNA
Source: RNAcentral
UACGAAGGGGGCUAGCGUUGCUCGGAAUUACUGGGCGUAAAGGGAGCGUAGGCGGAUAUUUAAGUCGGGGGUGAAAGCCCAGGGCUCAACCCUGGAAUUGCCUUCGAUACUGGAUAUCUAGAGUAUGGGAGAGGUGUGUGGAACUCCGAGUGUAGAGGUGAAAUUCGUAGAUAUUGGGAAGAACACCGAUGGCGAAGGCAGCCAUCUGGACCGACACUGACGCUGAGGCGCGAAAGCGUGGGGAGCAAACAGG